UUUAUGGAGAGUUUGAUCCUGGCUCAGGAUGAACGCUGGCGGCGUGCCUAAUACAUGCAAGUCGAGCGAACGGACGAGAAGCUUGCUUCUCUGAUGUUAGCGGCGGACGGGUGAGUAACACGUGGAUAACCUACCUAUAAGACUGGGAUAACUUCGGGAAACCGGAGCUAAUACCGGAUAAUAUUUUGAACCGCAUGGUUCAAAAGUGAA
Molecule: ribosomal RNA, 210 nt
Filed under: Staphylococcus aureus
Lineage: Bacteria; Bacillati; Bacillota; Bacilli; Caryophanales; Staphylococcaceae
Description: partial 16S ribosomal RNA
Rfam family: Bacterial small subunit ribosomal RNA
Source: RNAcentral